Molecule: long non-coding RNA, 3950 nt
Organism: Onychostoma macrolepis
Lineage: Eukaryota; Metazoa; Chordata; Actinopteri; Cypriniformes; Cyprinidae
Exons: 3
Source: RefSeq, a predicted model, not a curated record
UUGGCCUAUAAUUAUUUAGAUUUGAUCGGUCCCCACCCUUUAAUACAGAGUGACAUAUGCUGACUUCAAUACACUAGGUAUUAAUCCAGUUUCAAUAGUCAAAUUGAAAAUGUGUGUCAAAGGUUCUGCAAUAUGUUCAGCAGCAAUAUUUAAAAAGUAUGGAUCCAACCCAUCAGGACCAGAGGAUUUAUUGGUAUUUAACCUUCUAAGAGCAUCAUAUACCUCCUGCAUUGCAAUAGGAACAAAAUCAAAAUUGAUAGAUACAUUUUCCCUAGACAAAGAGUAGUCAUCUUGUCUCCUCUGUUGUUGUGUUGUAUGCUCAAACAACAACCCAGAAGAUAUAAAAUGCUGGUUUAGGGAAUCUAGCAUACUUUUCCUGUCUGUAAUAAUUUUGUCAUUCAACUUCAAUAUAUUUGGCAUGACAGUAUCCCUAGAGUCAGAAGACAGUGAUUUUAUAACUUUCCAAAAUUUAGAGGGAUUAACUUUACUAUCACAUAUUUCAUUUACAUAAAAAUCUGAUUUUGCUUUGCGUAUUUGAGAGACACAUUUAUUUCUCAGGUGCCUAAAAUAUUGCCAAUCUGAGCUAUUUUUGGAAUUCUUUGCCUUUGACCAAGCAAGAUCAUGCUCAUGAAUUAGAUCAGACAAUUUCUGUGAAAACCACGGAUUAUCAUGCCCUUUAAUCUUAUAUUUUCUAAAAGGAGCAUGCUUGUUUAUAAUGUCCAAGAAAAGUGAUUUAAAAUAUUGCAACGCUAUCUCGGGCUCCGGGAUCAAAUUUACCCUGGUCCAGUCACAGAGAUUAAGAUCAAUUAAAAAAAGCUUGUUCACAGAACAACUUCAAAAUUCUCUUAAUUAUAAUACGCGGUUUACAUUUAGAUAUCUUGGUAUCUCUCACACCAGCAAUAACGCAGUGAUCACUCGUAUCAUUUGCAAAAACCGCAGUAGCUUUGUAUUUCUGCGGCACAUUUGUUAAAAACAAAUCAAGGAGUGUAGACUUUUCAGGAUGUUUAGGAUUUAGCCUAGUAGGCGAAUCUAUAAUUUGGAUCAAAUUCGCUGAAUCACAAAAACUUUUAAUUAAAUCAGAUGCAGGAGUUAGCCAGUCCCAAUUUAAGUCACCCAUUAAAACCAAUUCAGUAUAUUUUAUAGAUGACAAACAAUCAGCCAAUGAGGACAAUGUGUCUUUUGGCGCAGAAGGAGGUCUAUAGCAUCCCGCAACUGUCAAAACACAAUUCUGCGAUAAUUCAAUUUUCAACACUAGUAGUUCAAAUUGUUUAGGCACAGACUUGGAUAAUUGUACUGUUGCUUGCAAACUAUUUUUUACAUAGAUCGCCACUCCUCCACCUUUAGCACAACGAUCAAUACGAAAUAUAUUAUACCCCUCCAUAUAAAUAUAACUAUCAAGAGUGGAUUUACCCAGCCAUGUCUCAGAUAACACCAUAAUAUCAACAUUUAGCCCAAAUUCUGACCAUAUCGAUUUUUGGCAAUAAACUUCUCACAUUUAUAUGCACAAAACCAAUACCAGACCUAUUUAGAAAAUCAGCAGGAGUUUGCAACGAUAUCAUAUCAGUCCCAGGACCUGGGUUAGGUUGCACAUUUUCCUGACAUCAGCAACAUAAGUGUAAUAAUACAUUUCAACAUACGUCUAUUAAGACCGUGCUUUCUGCAACUUUUAGAGUCACCACUCAUUGUGAUUUUGGGCCAAGAGUUUUUUGAUGGAAUAAAACAGUCAUUUAAAAGGAACAGGCUUAAAAGAUAUUUCAAAUUUCCAUGUUGUGAAGCCAGGCUCAUGUCAUCCAUCCAGCCCCCAUGACUGCCGACCAAGUCCUGUGCAUAGCCAGUAACCUUUGAUUGUGGGCACAAAUAAAGUGCAUUUAAGGAAACAUUGUAGUCACUCAUUUGGACCAACCGGUGCACUUCAUACUCUGACAUUAUAGGCAAACAGAGCAAAGACAGAAAAGCAAGAAUCAUACUCGCCAUGAUGGAAUUUGCACACCACAAAGCAGGGUAGCUGGAGUGUAGCUAGUAGAGACCCAAGGUUAUAGUUGAUAGCUAGUGGAAACCCAGGCUGUAGCUGAUGGAAUGUAGGCCAGGCAGUAGGUGAAACCAGAUUAUAGCUGGUAGAGUCCCAGGCUGUAGCUGAAGGAGACCCAGACUGUGGCUGGAGCAGGAGACCAGGCUGUAUUCAGUAUAGACCCAAACUGUAGCUGGUGCAGGCAGAGUGAUGCAGGUUUACACCAAAAGUAGAUGAACACAAAAAUCCAGGCAAACGCCCCAAUCCUAGUCCAAAAAACAGUAGGCCUGUACUGCUUUUUCGGGCAAAAAACAAACCCCACAGCAGCAGAUUAAUAAUUGAAGGGCCAGGUUGAUUGGGCACAGCAAUUGAAAUAGUUCUCCAACUCAGAUACACAAUAGUUCAUAAGUUGUGGGGUAAAUCACAAUUUUUCUAAUGGUUUUCACCAAACUUUGUUAAAAGUAAACGAACGUGUUAAAGAGGAUGUUAAAAUCCAUUGAAAAGACAAGUUUAAAACAAGUUAAAACAAACAAACACUAAACAGAACAAAAGAAAGGCUGCCAUCUUGGAAAGUGGGUGUUCAUAAUAGCCAGGUUGGAGCACCAGCUGUUUAUAUUGGUAUUACCAACUAAAGGAGCUACUAUAUGACUGUGUGUGUGGUUGUGAGUGUUAUGCCCCCAGCAAAAAAUGACCAAACGGUCCACCAGCGGUUUUUGGGCGGCACAAAUUCAGCGGCUUAAUACGGUCGGACCACCGUCGGGACACCAUCGGCGAGCCGACCAAUCUAAAAACGCUGUCGGUCAGCUGGUGUUUUUUUGGGUGGCAUGCCACCAACGGUUUGCCGCGGCUGGGCGUCCGUUGGUGCACCAGUGGCAAGCGGAGGGUCUGUCCUGUGUUUCUACCGAGCUCUUACAUGACAUUUUUGUUAUAUAUUUUUACAGUUAAAAGGAAUCUGAAGCACUGAAUAAAAAUAGUGAGAGUUAUAAUUAAUAAAGGUAUGGUAUAAAAACUGCAAGCACAUUUUUAAAUGAAAACAAUAGUUUGAAUGAUCAUAAAAACAACAAUACAAAAUCUAAUAAAAAAUAACAAACAAAAAAAAAAUCUAUAAAAAUUAAAUAAAAAUAAAAGUGCUACUUUGUCCCACUAUCACCUGCGGGUUGCAGUUUACACCUAUGUAUGAAUGGGUCAUAUAACUACAAAACGAUUACAAUUCAAAGUUAAAUAAACAUUUCUGUUGUUGUUUAUGUGCUAUAUAAUGUUUAUUUAAAUGGUGCGUGACUGUGACGUGUUUUGAUGGAGCUCGCUCUGAGUCUCUUCAAACGCUGCAGCGAGGGAGUUACCAUGGAAACGGGGCGGCAACUCUCAAACUGACAGCUGCAACACUGCGUCUCUCGCUGCUGUUUUCACCGUUUUCAGGAGUAACACUUCUACAACAGAAGAGAAGCUCCAAGAUAUCUACAUUUCUGAAGGAAGCUGCUGACAGAGAUGUUUCCCAUCCCAGUGUUACUACAGCUUGGAUCCAGCCUCACUUGUGGUGACUUCAGAUGAUGCCAACACUCAUGAAGACGAUGAUGGCAACUAUAGAUCAACAUACCAACCUGACAAAUGUUAUGUAUUGUAAUCAUUGCCUUAAAGCAUACGUUGAGUGAUUUUCAACCCACUUUGUAUUGUUACUAUGAUGGUAAUAUAUGUGAACGAACAAUAUUUAAUCUUUCUCUGAGUUCCAUGAGAUAUUCCCAUUUAUUUUUCAGCCAAAUAAUAUUUAGCAUUAUCCGAGUAUUGUUUUUUAACAUAUUACAGACUUUGUGGCAGUAUAAAGUGGAUUUAAAUUCCCCGAACCUACCCUUUAAUGUUUGUCUGUUUAACUGAACAUGACUUUAAACACAUAACUUGUAUUAUCUUAGAGUUAUUGACAUAUAGACAUUAAUUUGUUACCAGAAGA